GUGAAGUUUUCGGAUCGCGGCGACGCCGGCGGUUCGCUGCCGUUGACGACGUGAGAAGUUCAUUAAACCUUAUCAUUUAGAGGAAGGAGAAGUCGUAACAAGGUUUCCGUAGGUGAACCUGCGGAAGGAUCAUUG
This 135-nucleotide ribosomal RNA is filed under the name Cheilolejeunea clypeata. RNAcentral describes it as "partial 18S ribosomal RNA". It matches the Rfam family "Eukaryotic small subunit ribosomal RNA", at positions 1701 to 1831 of the family's 1831-position model. Lineage: Eukaryota; Viridiplantae; Streptophyta; Jungermanniopsida; Porellales; Lejeuneaceae. The record is from RNAcentral.